This 701-nucleotide ribosomal RNA is filed under the name Arthrobacter sp. Y4_361_3. RNAcentral describes it as "bacterial SSU rRNA". It matches the Rfam family "Bacterial small subunit ribosomal RNA", at positions 54 to 758 of the family's 1533-position model. Lineage: Bacteria; Bacillati; Actinomycetota; Actinomycetes; Micrococcales; Micrococcaceae. The record is from RNAcentral.
CAUGCAGUCGACGAUGAACUCCAGCUUGCUGGGGGGAUUAGUGGCGAACGGGUGAGUAACACGUGAGUAACCUGCCCUUAACUCUGGGAUAAGCCUGGGAAACUGGGUCUAAUACUGGAUAUUGACUUUUCCUCGCAUGGGGUUUGGUUGAAAGAUUUAUUGGUUUUGGAUGGACUCGCGGCCUAUCAGCUUGUUGGUGAGGUAAUGGCUCACCAAGGCGACGACGGGUAGCCGGCCUGAGAGGGUGACCGGCCACACUGGGACUGAGACACGGCCCAGACUCCUACGGGAGGCAGCAGUGGGGAAUAUUGCACAAUGGGCGAAAGCCUGAUGCAGCGACGCCGCGUGAGGGAUGACGGCCUUCGGGUUGUAAACCUCUUUCAGUAGGGAACAAGGCCAGGCUUUGUCUGGUUGAGGGUACUUGCAGAAGAAGCGCCGGCUAACUACGUGCCAGCAGCCGCGGUAAUACGUAGGGCGCAAGCGUUAUCCGGAAUUAUUGGGCGUAAAGAGCUCGUAGGCGGUUUGUCGCGUCUGCCGUGAAAGUCCGGGGCUCAACCCCGGAUCUGCGGUGGGUACGGGCAGACUAGAGUGAUGUAGGGGAGACUGGAAUUCCUGGUGUAGCGGUGAAAUGCGCAGAUAUCAGGAGGAACACCGAUGGCGAAGGCAGGUCUCUGGGCAUUAACUGACGCUGAGGAGCGAAA